This 432-nucleotide ribosomal RNA is filed under the name uncultured bacterium. Its description in RNAcentral is "partial 16S ribosomal RNA". It matches the Rfam family "Bacterial small subunit ribosomal RNA", at positions 29 to 507 of the family's 1533-position model. The record is from RNAcentral.
ACGAACGCUGGCGGCAUGCCUAACACAUGCAAGUCGAACGAGACCUUCGGGUCUAGUGGCGCACGGGUGCGUAACGCGUGGGAACCUGCCCUUAGGUUCGGAAUAACUCCCCGAAAGGGGUGCUAAUACCGGAUAAUGUCUUCGGACCAAAGAUUUAUCGCCUUUGGAUGGGCCCGCGUUGGAUUAGCUAGUUGGUAGGGUAAAAGCCUACCAAGGCGACGAUCCAUAGCUGGUCUGAGAGGAUGAUCAGCCACACUGGGACUGAGACACGGCCCAGACUCCUACGGGAGGCAGCAGUGGGGAAUAUUGGACAAUGGGCGAAAGCCUGAUCCAGCAAUGCCGCGUGAGUGAUGAAGGCCUUAGGGUUGUAAAGCUCUUUUACCCGGGAUGAUAAUGACAGUACCGGGAGAAUAAGCUCCGACUAACUCCGUG